RNAcentral lists this ribosomal RNA (495 nucleotides) under uncultured bacterium. RNAcentral's name for it is "partial 16S ribosomal RNA". It matches the Rfam family "Bacterial small subunit ribosomal RNA", at positions 30 to 507 of the family's 1533-position model. The record is from RNAcentral.
UGAACGCUGGCGGCGUGCCUAAUACAUGCAAGUCGCGCGAACGGACGCGAAGCUUGCUUCUCUGAUGUUAGCGGCGGACGGGUGAGUAACACGUGGAUAACCUACCUAUAAGACUGGGAUAACUUCGGGAAACCGGAGCUAAUACCGGAUAAUAUUUUGAACCGCAUGGUUCAAAAGUGAAAGACGGUCUUGCUGUCACUUAUAGAUGGAUCCGCGCUGCAUUAGCUAGUUGGUAAGGUAACGGCUUACCAAGGCAACGAUGCAUAGCCGACCUGAGAGGGUGAUCGGCCACACUGGAACUGAGACACGGUCCAGACUCCUACGGGAGGCAGCAGUAGGGAAUCUUCCGCAAUGGGCGAAAGCCUGACGGAGCAACGCCGCGUGAGUGAUGAAGGUCUUCGGAUCGUAAAACUCUGUUAUUAGGGAAGAACAUAUGUGUAAGUAACUGUGCACAUCUUGACGGUACCUAAUCAGAAAGCCACGGCUAACUACGUG